GGCGAACGGGUGAGUAACACGUGGGUGAUCUGCCCUGCACUUCGGGAUAAGCUUGGGAGACUGGGUCUAAUACCGGAUAGGAGCCAUCUUUAGUGUGGUGGUUGGAAAGUUUUUCGGUGUAGGAUGAGCUCGCGGCCUAUCAGCUUGUUGGUGGGGUAAUGGCCUACCAAGGCGGCGACGGGUAGCCGGCCUGAGAGGGUGUACGGCCACAUUGGGACUGAGAUACGGCCCAG
RNAcentral lists this ribosomal RNA (233 nucleotides) under uncultured Actinomycetales bacterium. RNAcentral's name for it is "partial 16S ribosomal RNA". It matches the Rfam family "Bacterial small subunit ribosomal RNA", at positions 97 to 334 of the family's 1533-position model. Lineage: Bacteria; Bacillati; Actinomycetota; Actinomycetes; Actinomycetales. The record is from RNAcentral.